RNAcentral lists this ribosomal RNA (253 nucleotides) under uncultured bacterium. RNAcentral's name for it is "partial 16S ribosomal RNA". It matches the Rfam family "Bacterial small subunit ribosomal RNA", at positions 524 to 776 of the family's 1533-position model. The record is from RNAcentral.
UACGGAGGGUGCAAGCGUUAAUCGGAAUUACUGGGCGUAAAGGGUUCGUAGGCGGUUUAAUAAGUUAAGUGUGAAAUUCCCGGGCUCAACCUGGGGUAGUCAUUUAAGACUGUUAGACUGGAGUAUGGGAGAGGGUAGUGGAAUUUCCGGUGUAGCGGUGAAAUGCGUAGAGAUCGGAAGGAACACCAGUGGCGAAGGCGGCUACCUGGCCUAAUACUGACGCUGAGGAACGAAAGCAUGGGGAGCAAACAGG